GAUUGUUUCAUCAAUCAAAUCUCAGGAAGUAGUUUGAAGAGGAGAAGGGAAGUCAUUUCUUCAAAUUAACUAGAAUAUAAUGAUCUACCUGAAGGUGGAGGGGAAGUAAGAUCACUAGAAAGCAGAAUUCUGCCAGACAACCACAGGACCCAAGAGCCAUUUAACAUGUCAUCAUGAGGCUCCAGUUCGACAAUGUCUGUGCAUCCUGCUGGAAGCAUGCAACUAUGGUUUGCAUGCCCUACUGAAGGACCCUACCGUGUGGAAUAGGUGGUUGUAGUUCGUUGGUCCCCAAUGGUGAUACCUUUUAUGGAGAAAGCACUUGGGAGACUUCCAAGAUGAUAUGGAGUCCAGACUGACGAGACAGGCUUGAUGCUGAUGUCUCUGAAUGGAUCAAGACCUUGCAUUCAGCAAUAUAAUUAUACAGUACACAUAUAUUUGAAGUCUGAAUCCCGUUUGGGUGAAAUAUCGUCAAUUGACAGACUUGUUGGGGAAUGUUUGGCGAGUUAGCUGGUUAGCCUAGCUAUAAACGUAGCUGGCUAGCUAACUUCAACGGCAAUAACAGAAACACUUAACCGCUAAAACAUAUGGACUCCUGUAGAAAUCUACCCAGUGGUGAGAAAAGCAUAGAGCUAAAUAUAUCAAAGAGAAAGUGCCAAUCCAAAGAUGGAUGAAAUUAAGCUGUGUAAUGAAAAAUAAAUUAAUAGUAAAGUUAAUGGCUUACGUGGAUAAAGCCAUCCAGGAUAAUCAUACAGUUUUGCUGACUCAACUGGAGAAUAAUAACAAGCAGCUACAUGACCACAUAGCUCUUGAAGUUGGACUUCUGCAGACUCGUGUAGAAUUCCUAGAAUCUUGGCGAGUAGGCGCUGCCAAAACAACUAAGUUCCACUAUCAUAGUUGCAGGACUGCCAGCUGAGGAAAACGAGGACCUAAUCUCCAAGGUGAACCAGCUGAUAUUGGUAGGCCGCAAAACAGAGUUGAUUGCAGUUGAGAGGAUGAGGGAGAGAGGUAAAGGUCGUGAAGGUGCGGUGUCAACCCAUGAAGGAAAAAGUGGCGAAUAACAAUACUAAAAUCCUUAAACCCAUACGUUAUCUCAAUAAAUGAAACCUUUGCAUUGGCAAUGUUACGGAUAUAGUUAUCCUGUGUGUGUGUGUGUUUCUUUUCUCUCCUUCUCCCCUCACAGGUGAAAAUCAUCACUCCCCAAUCAGUCAACAAUCAAUCAGAAGACACACCUCCUCCUAUUUCCUAACCUAUCACAGUUCCUUCUCCAUGGUUUAAAAACCCCAUCAUUUGUUUGUUCUAGAGCUCAAUCUCUCUGUAAAUGCCAUGUCUGUAGGUCUCUGUGGUUCACUCUCGCUUUGUGUCUUAACCUCUCUUUUGUUUAAACACCUCAUAGCACUUUGUCAUCACCUGUGAGUAUUGUUUUUGGUUAUGGUGUUUGUUUGUUGCUGGUGGGAAAAGGGGGAAACCAAGACAAGUCGCCCAUGGGCAUACACUACCCGUAGGUGAACUUUGUUAAAUACACUAGUUAGAACUGGGCGGACCACCCACUGUAUUUUUGGUUAGUUAGUUAGCUGUUGUUAAAGUAGGCUAGUCUAGCUUAGGGGUGUUUUUGAAUACUUAUUGUUUCUUUCCUUGGGUCCAGCUCAGCCCCUUUUCCUGCUCCCCCCAUUACCGUGUGUUUAUAAAUAAACCUGGAG
This is a long non-coding RNA of Oncorhynchus masou masou (cherry salmon), 1697 nucleotides long. RefSeq lists it as uncharacterized. NCBI's taxonomy places the organism in Eukaryota, Metazoa, Chordata, Actinopteri, Salmoniformes, Salmonidae. The record is from RefSeq and is a predicted model, not a curated record. The transcript is spliced from 4 exons.